Molecule: long non-coding RNA, 819 nt
Organism: Danaus plexippus (monarch butterfly)
Lineage: Eukaryota; Metazoa; Arthropoda; Insecta; Lepidoptera; Nymphalidae
Exons: 2
Source: RefSeq, a predicted model, not a curated record
UGAUUUAUAUAUAUAUAAUGAUUACCACAUAACAGUCGCCUACAAGUACAGGAACGUAAUCUGACAAAUAUUUAUAACAUACAACACAUCAACUAGAAUACAAAUAUAGCUCAGCUGUAAUAAUAUCUUUGUUAAUAUUUUCAAAAUGGCAUCGGUAUCAAAACAAUCUCUGGACUAUUAGAGCAUCAUUGAAUCAUCCAUAGGCUUUAUAACGAUGAACUCAUUUAAGUAUAGUUUCAUUCAGCGUGUUAUAAACAAUGUUACAUCAUGUGAGCGACGCGAGUCAUCUGUUGAGCCACUGACGUGCAAAUGUGCCCCGUCACCUACAUUAGACACAUCUAACAAUCUCAAUGGAAAUCUACCGAGGAACAUUCGUGAGAGGUGCGUCACAAGGGUUACAAGGAGCGCGUGUUGUUUUCAGCUUAGCGGAGUGACAAACAAGGGGCAUCGAACGAGAAUAUUCCGUUGGACUCUGACGGCUCGGUAUCUAUGUAUUACACUGCACCGGAUAUAACACGAUGCCAUCUUUAUUGUCAAACAAAACAUAUUUACGGAACCACGAAUGAAUGACAAGGCCAGGAGAACAAUGGUAAACAAUUGUUUGCUUGUUUUUUGCGUGCAACCGCAUUCGUGACGAAAAAAAAAAAAAACUAUUUAUUUAAUUUACAAAUGGAUGUUGCCAGCGACUUCGCCAGUGUUUCAGACAAAAAAUAUAUAUAAUUAACGUUUUUGGUUUCUAUUUGAAUGACUGCAAGCUGUAGACAUUACUGCUUCAAGUUAUAAGAACGUUUGAUUUUAUUAAAGGAUAUUUUAAUGGUG